GGGGAAUCUUGCACAAUGGGGGAAACCCUGAUGCAGCGACGCCGCGUGAACGAUGAAGCCCUUCGGGGUGUAAAGUUCUUUCGACAGGAACGAUAAUGACGGUACCUGGAGAAGAAGCUGCGGCUAACUACGUGCCAGCAGCCGCGGUAAUACGUAGGCAGCGAGCGUUGUUCGGAGUUACUGGGCGUAAAGAGUGCGUAGGCGGCGAGCCAAGUUUGGUGUGAAAUCUCCCGGCUUAACCGGGAGGGUGCGCCGAAAACUGGUUGGCUGGAGUAUGGGAGAGGAGAGCGGAAUUCCUGGUGUAGCGGUGAAAUGCGUAGAUAUCAGGAGGAACACCUGAGGCGAAGGCGGGUUGCUGGGCCGACACUGACGCUGAUGCGCGAAAGCCAGGGGAGCAAACG
RNAcentral lists this ribosomal RNA (401 nucleotides) under uncultured bacterium. RNAcentral's name for it is "bacterial SSU rRNA". It matches the Rfam family "Bacterial small subunit ribosomal RNA", at positions 356 to 774 of the family's 1533-position model. The record is from RNAcentral.